Molecule: non-coding RNA, 1016 nt
Organism: Hyla sarda
Lineage: Eukaryota; Metazoa; Chordata; Amphibia; Anura; Hylidae
Source: the annotation of a RefSeq genome assembly
AUAUAAUUAUUGGUGUAUCCAUACUGAAAAUGUGCAAAGAAAAAACUGCAACAAAUACACACCAAAUGCACUAAAUUGUGCAACUAUGUGCAAUAAUUCUGCAGCACAUUCGCAAUGAAAAUUGACAUGCUGCAGAUUUAAAAGGUAAAACUGCAAUGCAGUAAAGCAUUAUGCGGUAACACAGCAAAAAAAAAAAAAAAAAUUUAAAACCCGAACUGGGCUUUGAAAUAAAACAAAGAACAAUGAUGUUCUAUAAAUAGAGAAUGGAAUAUUUUGGUUGGUAGGAGGGGUAGACAGGAUGUGAUAUAGGUGACAUAUAACUAAGAUAAAUGUCUAUCCUCUCCUGCACUACUGAAAGGACCUUUACACAGAACACGGAGCGGAGACCCAGAUAACUGAAGCAUGGAUGUCAUCUUCCCAUUUAUCUUCUAUGGGAUACUACUAAUAGGGAGAAGUAAUGCCCAGUCUGUGAACCAGACAUCAGCUCCUCAGCUUGUCCUCCAAGGAUCUCCUGUAUUCCUGGAAUGUACAUAUAAGGUUUCUGGAUAUCCUUAUCUUUUCUGGUACGUGCAGUAUCCUGGUAAAGCUCCCGUUCUUCUAUUACAAGGCUUGGGAAGAGAAGAGAACAAUGGUUUCAGUGCCACACAAGAAACAAAGAAUCCUACCAUAUGAGGAAAACACAAGCUGAAGUGACUGACUCUGCUCUAUAUUUCUGUGCAGCGAGUGACACAGUGAAUACCGCCCAUAACUCACCUGUCACAUAACUGUGAGAUCAGAUCCUCUUCUUUCCAGACAUUCAGAAUAAAAUCGGCGAUUGCAGAUUGUUUAUAGAAGUAUUACUUGCAUUGAAUUGAUUUGUCUUUUGUGUAACCCCCUAGCUUCAAAAAUUCUAUACUUUUGUAUUUAUUAUAUUAUAUUUCAUUUAAACAAAAUAUUUUUUUGGAAAUAAAACCAAUAAUGACAAAUAACAAACAAAAAAACAUUUUGUGAUGGGUAUUAAAGAUGUAAAUGUCCAC